Non-coding RNA from Cyanistes caeruleus (blue tit), 1159 nucleotides. The record is from RefSeq and is a predicted model, not a curated record. NCBI's taxonomy places the organism in Eukaryota, Metazoa, Chordata, Aves, Passeriformes, Paridae.
CCCCACACCCCAUUGUAAUUGCCUGCAUUUAUCUCUCUUCUUUCAGUGCAGAUGGGCGUUUUGAGGGAACAUCUACAAAAACUGUGGUAAAAUAUGAUGGCACCAUUGCUUGGACUCCACCAGCAAACUACAAAAGUUCUUGUACUAUUGAUGUAACAUUCUUUCCCUUUGACCUUCAAAAUUGCUCAAUGAAAUUUGGUUCCUGGACUUACGAUGGCUCACAGGUUGAUCUAAUUAUUGAAGAUUAUGAUGUUGACAAAAGAGAUUUUUUUGAUAAUGGAGAAUGGGAAAUAGUGACUGCGACAGGGAGCAAAGGCAAUAGGACUGAUGGAUGCUGCUGGUAUCCUUUUGUUACAUAUUCAUUUAUAAUUAGACGUUUGCCACUUUUUUACACAUUGUUUCUAAUUAUUCCUUGUAUUGGGCUUUCAUUUUUAACUGUCCUUGUCUUCUAUCUUCCUUCAAAUGAAGGUGAAAAAAUUUCACUCUGCACUUCAGUACUGGUAUCUUUGACUGUUUUUCUUCUGGUUAUUGAAGAAAUUAUUCCAUCAUCUUCUAAAGUUAUCCCGCUCAUAGGAGAGUACUUGGUGUUUACUAUGAUCUUUGUGACCUUAUCCAUUGUGAUCACUGUCUUUGCUAUCAAUAUCCACCACCGCUCCUCGUCCACACACAAUGCCAUGGCACCUUGGGUUCGCAGGAUAUUUCUGCACAAGCUGCCCAAGCUGCUUUGCAUGAGAAGCCAUGUUGAUAGGUACUUUGCUCAGAAGGAGGAAACAGCAAAUACGAAUGUAUCAGAAUCAUCCAGGAACACCUUGGAAGCAGCUCUGGAUUCCAUCCGCUAUAUUACGAGGCACGUUAUGAAGGAGAAUGAAGUUCGCGAGGUGGGUGUGUUAGUCCUGCUACACUGAUUUUAUACAAGUGGAAAUUAGAAAACCAAGUGCCUUACUGUGCAGUUACAUAUUAAAGAUGUGCUACAGAUUCUCAGCUUUUGUACUUUGCUGAAAGUUGUAUAGUUGUUUCCAGUGGAAAAAAGUGCAAAUAUGGUACAAUACUGAGAAUAUUUGGCUGAUACAGUACAGUAUUUGGGGUCCUUAAAAGUCUUUUGCUUUCUUCUACAAGUUCUUGUUACUAGUUCCAUGUUGUAAGACGCUUGUCUGUGACA